CUACGGGAGGCAGCAGCUAAGAAUCUUCCGCAAUGGGGGAAACCCUGACGGAGCGACGCCGCGUGGAUGAUGAAGGCCGUAAGGUUGUAAAAUCCUUUUGUUGGCGAAGAAUAACCUGGGGAGUGGAAAGCCCCAGGGAUGACGUUAGCCGACGAAUAAGCCCCGGCUAAUUACGUGCCAGCAGCCGCGGUAAUACGUAUGGGGCAAGCGUUGUUCGGAGUUAUUGGGCGUAAAGGGCGUGUAGGCGGCUCAUCAAGUCUGGUGUGAAAACGCAGGGCUUAACCUUGCGGAUGCACUGGAAACUGGUGGGCUGGAGUUCUUGAGGGGAAGCUGGAAUUCCAGGUGUAGGGGUGAAAUCUGUAGAUAUCUGGAAGAACACCGGUGGCGAAGGCGAGCUUCUAUCAGAGGACUGACGCUGAGGCGCGAAAGCGUGGGGAGCAAACAGGAUUAGAAACCCCAGUAGUCCC
Molecule: ribosomal RNA, 467 nt
Filed under: uncultured bacterium
Lineage: Bacteria
Description: bacterial SSU rRNA
Rfam family: Bacterial small subunit ribosomal RNA
Source: RNAcentral